RNAcentral lists this ribosomal RNA (91 nucleotides) under Azospirillum brasilense. Its description in RNAcentral is "partial 16S ribosomal RNA". The stretch from base 1 to 81 matches the Rfam family "Bacterial small subunit ribosomal RNA", at positions 1453 to 1533 of the family's 1533-position model. Lineage: Bacteria; Pseudomonadati; Pseudomonadota; Alphaproteobacteria; Rhodospirillales; Azospirillaceae. The record is from RNAcentral.
CCAACCACGGUCAGGUCAGCGACUGGGGUGAAGUCGUAACAAGGUAGCCGUAGGGGAACCUGCGGCUGGAUCACCUCCUUUCUAAGGAAAA